AGUCGAACGGGAAACUUUUCAUUGAAGCUUCGGCAGAUUUGGUCUGUUUCUAGUGGCGGACGGGUGAGUAACGCGUGGGUAACCUGCCUUAUACAGGGGGAUAACAACCAGAAAUGGUUGCUAAUACCGCAUAAGCGCACAGGACCGCAUGGUCCGGUGUGAAAAACUCCGGUGGUAUAAGAUGGACCCGCGUUGGAUUAGCUAGUUGGCAGGGUAACGGCCUACCAAGGCGACGAUCCAUAGCCGGCCUGAGAGGGUGAACGGCCACAUUGGGACUGAGACACGGCCCAGACUCCUACGGGAGGCAGCAGUGGGGAAUAUUGCACAAUGGGGGAAACCCUGAUGCAGCGACGCCGCGUGAAGGAAGAAGUAUCUCGGUAUGUAAACUUCUAUCAGCAGGGAAGAUAGUGACGGUACCUGACUAAGAAGCCCCGGCUAACUACGUGCCAGCAGCCGCGGUAAUACGUAGGGGGCAAGCGUUAUCCGGAUUUACUGGGUGUAAAGGGAGCGUAGACGGACUGGCAAGUCUGAUGUGAAAGGCGGGGGCUCAACCCCUGGACUGCAUUGGAAACUGUUAGUCUUGAGUGCCGGAGAGGUAAGCGGAAUUCCUAGUGUAGCGGUGAAAUGCGUAGAUAUUAGGAGGAACACUAGUGGCGAAGGC
RNAcentral lists this ribosomal RNA (661 nucleotides) under uncultured Lachnospiraceae bacterium. Its description in RNAcentral is "bacterial SSU rRNA". It matches the Rfam family "Bacterial small subunit ribosomal RNA", at positions 60 to 722 of the family's 1533-position model. The record is from RNAcentral. Lineage: Bacteria; Bacillati; Bacillota; Clostridia; Lachnospirales; Lachnospiraceae.